GGGGUAUAGCUCAGUUGGUAGAGCGACGGUCUCCAAAACCGUAGGUCGCGGGUUCGAACCCUGCUGCCCCCCCUGCCA
This 78-nucleotide transfer RNA is filed under the name Brucella intermedia 229E. RNAcentral's name for it is "Ochrobactrum intermedium 229E tRNA-Trp". It matches the Rfam family "tRNA". From Rfam's summary of the family: Transfer RNA (tRNA) molecules are approximately 80 nucleotides in length. The record is from RNAcentral. Lineage: Bacteria; Pseudomonadati; Pseudomonadota; Alphaproteobacteria; Hyphomicrobiales; Brucellaceae.